Talaromyces marneffei PM1 is the source of this 105-nucleotide non-coding RNA. The record is from Rfam. NCBI's taxonomy places the organism in Eukaryota, Fungi, Ascomycota, Eurotiomycetes, Eurotiales, Trichocomaceae.
GGCUUCUUAGUCUAAUGGUUAUGACAUCGGAUUCUGAUUCGCGUUUGAUCAACAGCUGAUCGACGAUUCAUUCCGGGGGUCAGGGUUCGAUUCCCUGAGAGGCCU